UUGCACGCUGGCGGCAGGCCUCACACAUGCAAGUCGAACGGUAACAGGAAGAAGCUUGCUUCUUUGCUGACGAGUGGCGGACGGGUGAGUAAUGUCUGGGAAACUGCCUGAUGGAGGGGGAUAACUACUGGAAACGGUAGCUAAUACCGCAUAAUGUCGCAAGACCAAAGAGGGGGACCUUCGGGCCUCUUGCCAUCGGAUGUGCCCAGAUGGGAUUAGCUAGUAGGUGGGGUAACGGCUCACCUAGGCGACGAUCCCUAGCUGGUCUGAGAGGAUGACCAGCCACACUGGAACUGAGACACGGUCCAGACUCCUACGGGAGGCAGCAGUGGGGAAUAUUGCACAAUGGGCGCAAGCCUGAUGCAGCUAUGCCGCGUGUAUGAAGAAGGCCUUCGGGUUGUAAAGUACUUUCAGCGGGGAGGAAGGGAGUAAAGUUAAUACCUUUGCUCAUUGACGUUACCCGCAGAAGAAGCACCGGCUAACCCCGUG
This 489-nucleotide ribosomal RNA is filed under the name uncultured bacterium. Its description in RNAcentral is "partial 16S ribosomal RNA". It matches the Rfam family "Bacterial small subunit ribosomal RNA", at positions 30 to 507 of the family's 1533-position model. The record is from RNAcentral.